Molecule: ribosomal RNA, 400 nt
Filed under: phytoplankton environmental sample
Lineage: Eukaryota
Description: partial small subunit ribosomal RNA
Rfam family: Eukaryotic small subunit ribosomal RNA
Source: RNAcentral
AGCUCUAAUAGCGUAUAUUAAAGUUGUUGCGGUUAAAAAGCUCGUAGUUGGAUUUUGAGCCUUCCCCUUUCGGUCCAGCUUUAGCUUGGAACUGAUUGGUGGGCUUUCUGUCUGGAAACACACGUAGACUCUUCAUUGGGUCGCGUGCUGGGUCUAGGACAUCUUACUUUGAACAAAUUGGAGUGUUUAAAGCAGGCUUACGCCUUGAACACAUUAGCAUGGAAUAACCAAAUAGGACUUUGGUUCUAUUUUGUUGGUUUUCGGAGCCGAAGUAAUGAUUAAUAGGGACAGUUGGGGGCAUUAGUAUUUAGUUGUCAGAGGUGAAAUUCUUAGAUUUAUUAAAGACUAACUUCUGCGAAAGCAUUUGCCAAGGAUGUUUUCAUUAAUCAAGAACGAAAGU